RNAcentral lists this long non-coding RNA (480 nucleotides) under Hordeum vulgare. RNAcentral's name for it is "long non-coding RNA (HVUL_LNC017802)". Lineage: Eukaryota; Viridiplantae; Streptophyta; Magnoliopsida; Poales; Poaceae. The record is from RNAcentral.
UUUAAUGAGGGUGGAGAGGACCAGCAUGAGACGGAUGUGACGUCUGUUGGCUUCUAUGCUAGGUGCAUCAGCCGCAAUAUAAAAAAUCUCUACGUGCAUGACAACGAGGAUCAUGCUACGGAGAUGGAUCACAGAUGGUUACCACUAGACGUGCAGUAUCGUGCAUCGGAAGUAGAUUUUAGGACAGUGCAUCCGUAGUCGUCUCCUCCUCGUCCGAUCUACCUCGAACGCCGAUCGUCGGGUCCCACGUACAAGGUUCGUCUGAGCGGCGCAAAUGCACCACCUAUAAUGGUAUCCACGCGUGCGGAAGGGACACCGUGCGACGGACUGCUAGGUCCGAUCACAUAGUUGACGACGAGUGGAGGUGGCUACUUGCAAUACAUGUAAAUCCCUAAUGAUGGUGCCGAAGUGAUGAGCUGAAUGAGUAUGCCGCACCUCCACUAUAUAUAGGCAUCCGUCGUGGGCUCGACUCUUGGGCCU